GGGACCCUGCAGGCCUUUAACUCUUGUCCCUUCUGUCCCACCCGUGCCUGUGCUCAGGGCCCAGCAGGGACCUGAGCUCACAGGUCCCUGCUGGGAGGGGGCACAGGGCAGGUUUCUUGCCAGGCUCUGGCCAAAGGCUAGUUUGGAAAGCAAUCCUGCCAGACACAGCGAGUUAACGGUGACACAGCAGAAUAGAGAGCAAAUCCCCCCCGUUCCUGGAGGCUGUGUGGUCCCACCUGGGUGGCAGAUCAGAGGUGCCUGGGUGCUGUCCUUGGCAGAUCUGUGCCUGUGAAAGAAAAACAUUCCUGCCCUCCAGGACACUUUGUGGCCUCCUGGAAAAGUGCUCUGACACCAUGGGAACCACAAGAAAUGGGGAAGAAGCUGCUCCCCCAGUCCUGCUGAGCCCCUGGCAUGAAAGAGAAGGGGAGGGUGGGAAAGUCACUGCAUUUUUUGGGUGCCAUUUCAGCAGGUGUGGGGUGAGGGAGGUGUGGGCAGGGACACGGACAAGGUCAGGCACUGAAGAUAAUUUCCUCAGCGUGGAUCACCGGGCUGGGAACAGGCUGGGACAUCCUGGGGGAUGCACAUCUUGCAUUCUGUACUCCAGGAGACACGGGAGUCGAGAGUGUAAACAAACCUUGCUUGUAAAGCAGAGCAGAAAUACUCAGUGCUUGCUUACAAACUGCAGCUUGCUGGGAAAAGGUUCUGGAUUUCCCCCCUGCCCUGAAGCUCCUGGGAUAUAUAAAAAAUAAAUUUUCCCCUCUAACUCCA
Molecule: long non-coding RNA, 768 nt
Organism: Prinia subflava (tawny-flanked prinia)
Lineage: Eukaryota; Metazoa; Chordata; Aves; Passeriformes; Cisticolidae
Exons: 2
Source: RefSeq, a predicted model, not a curated record